Molecule: ribosomal RNA, 253 nt
Filed under: uncultured bacterium
Lineage: Bacteria
Description: partial 16S ribosomal RNA
Rfam family: Bacterial small subunit ribosomal RNA
Source: RNAcentral
UACGUAGGCAGCAAACGUUGUUCGGAAUUACUGGGCGUAAAGAGUGUGUAGGCGGUUCUGUAAGUUUGGUGUGAAAUCUCCCGGCUUAACUGGGAGGGUGCGCCGAAAACUGCAAGGCUUGAGUGCUGGAGAGGAUAGCGGAAUUCCAGGUGUAGCGGUGAAAUGCGUAGAUAUCUGGAGGAACACCGGUGGCGAAAGCGAGCUGCUGGACCUCUUCUGACGCUGAGGCGCGAAAGCCAGGGGAGCAAACGGG